RNAcentral lists this long non-coding RNA (795 nucleotides) under Homo sapiens (human). RNAcentral's name for it is "long non-coding RNA NONHSAT258829". Lineage: Eukaryota; Metazoa; Chordata; Mammalia; Primates; Hominidae. The record is from RNAcentral.
AAUACACAUUUUUCAAGAAUCCUGGACUAAUCCCACACUACUCUGAGCCUUCUUUACUUUUUAAGCCUCUUUAUUUCUAUUAUAUGACUGUGAACUAAGUAGAUUUAACUUUUGUAUGCUUUUAAAAUCAGUUAUAUUUUCUGAUAUGUGAUAACAAAUAUACUGUGUAUUUCAUUGAAACGUAGAGGAAAACUGCUCUUUUUUUCCUUUUAAAAUCAGUGCCUAUGGUAUAGUCAACAAAGUAUUUAAUGAGUGGCUAUUUUGAGCCAUUUUUAAUUGGCUGGACUACUGCAGACAUACCAUUUUAAAUGAUUACACAUAUGUCUAGAGAAUCAGCAUAGGAUUUUUGUUUUUCCUUUGAGAUUGAACAAUUUUUAUUUCAUCAUUACUAAAACUUAGCUGACAAUUUUUAUUUUUUCAUUACUAAAACUUAGCUGGAUGUCAGUUUCUGCCUUUAAAUAAAAUAUCCAAAUCCAGGAUUAUUCUCAAUUGCAAAAAUGCAGCUGGUCUCAACUAUUCCUUUUAUAUUUUCUUUCACAUAGGGUAGAAAAUGGUGAAUCAUUGUACUUUCAUAUAAUAAAAAGAUGUCUUCAAUUUUAAAUGUAAUUGUCCUUUCUUGAGUAACUUCUAAAUGAAGUGAAACCACAAAGGCAGUUUGGCACACUAUUGAUUCUAUCCUGGUUAUCUUUUUUGUCAGGCUAGAAUGUGAAGGGAAAGGGUUUGGAGCACAGAAUGGUUUUCCUUUUAAAGAAAAAAAAUUGAAUGAAAAAUUGGCAAUGAAAAUAAAAUACUGGA